Long non-coding RNA from Mercenaria mercenaria, 717 nucleotides. RefSeq lists it as uncharacterized. The record is from RefSeq and is a predicted model, not a curated record. The transcript is spliced from 3 exons. Lineage: Eukaryota; Metazoa; Mollusca; Bivalvia; Venerida; Veneridae.
GAUCUUUUUAUAUGGAGUACAAAUUAAAAUAGUAUUUCAUGUGAUUAAAUAUGGUUGAAAACUGUAGAAAACCAGUAGAAAACAUUGUGUGCUUAUUUCAGUCCGCCUGGUUCCAGCGACAGACUGGGUAGAUUAACACAGCAUCUUCUUAAUCAGCAUAGUUACUACCCCUACUACCCACCCCACGAGGAGAUGUGUAUAGAUUACGAGAAGUUCCAGACAACAUGUAUAAUGCCGACCACACCGCAUAUCCUUAUUGUACCUUCAGAAUUCAAACAAUUUAUCAAGGAAAUGAAGGGUUGUUGUUGUAUCAAUCCAGGACGUCUCACUAAAGGUUUGACUGGGUCUACAUUUGCGAAAAUUGUUGUACAAACGAAUGAACUUGAAAAUAACCAGUCUUUGGUCAAGAAUAUAACAGCACAAGUGGUUAGGAUAUGAAUUUUAUUGAACCAGUUGAUCAUGUAUAAAGAAAAUGAAAUUACAGUUGAUGCAUUAAUGCAAACAUACAUUUAGCUAGAGCAGAAAGGAGAUUUUAUCAACAGUUUUAUAUGGAAGUGAAGAAAUAUCUUAAGAAGUUGAAUAGAAGGUAAAAGGUGACAUUUAAAACAUGGAACCAGUGUAGCAAUAUAUAGUACACUUCGAAGCCCAUAUUGACACAUGAGCCUUGCACAUAACAGCAAGAUUGAAGAAGUCAAUAAAAUUAUAUUUAGAAUUAUA